Molecule: unclassified non-coding RNA, 306 nt
Filed under: uncultured Mycena
Lineage: Eukaryota; Fungi; Basidiomycota; Agaricomycetes; Agaricales; Tricholomataceae
Description: sequence contains ITS2
Rfam family: 5.8S ribosomal RNA (bases 1-52)
Source: RNAcentral
AACGCACCUUGCGCCCUUUGGUAUUCCGAAGGGCAUGCCUGUUUGAGUGUCAUUAAAUUAUCAACCCAAAAAGUUUAUUCUUUUUGCGGCUUGGACUUGGGGGUUUGCUGGCUUCCUUCAGUGGAUGGUCUGCUCCCCUUAAAUGCAUUAGCGGGAUCUCUUGUGGACCGUCACUUGGUGUGAUAAUUAUCUAUGCCACGUUGACUUUGAAGCAAAACUUAUGGGAACCUGCUUAUAACCGUCCCUUGUGGACAACUUUAUUGACAAUUUGACCUCAAAUCAGGUAGGACUACCCGCUGAACUUAA